GUCCAGUGUAGCCUAAUGGACAUGGCAUCUGCCCGGUAAGCGGAAGGUCGUGGGUUCGAUUCCCGCCCCUGGACA
RNAcentral lists this transfer RNA (75 nucleotides) under Cordylochernes scorpioides. Its description in RNAcentral is "tRNA-Thr". It matches the Rfam family "tRNA". Rfam says of the family: Transfer RNA (tRNA) molecules are approximately 80 nucleotides in length. Their secondary structure includes four short double-helical elements and three loops (D, anti-codon, and T loops). Further hydrogen bonds mediate the characteristic L-shaped molecular structure. tRNAs have two regions of fundamental functional importance: the anti-codon, which is responsible for specific mRNA codon recognition, and the 3' end, to which the tRNAs corresponding amino acid is attached (by aminoacyl-tRNA synthetases). tRNAs cope with the degeneracy of the genetic code in two manners: having more than one tRNA (with a specific anti-codon) for a particular amino acid; and 'wobble' base-pairing, i.e. permitting non-standard base-pairing at the 3rd anti-codon position. Lineage: Eukaryota; Metazoa; Arthropoda; Arachnida; Pseudoscorpiones; Chernetidae. The record is from RNAcentral.